Pezoporus occidentalis (night parrot) is the source of this 1959-nucleotide long non-coding RNA. RefSeq lists it as uncharacterized. The transcript has 2 exons. NCBI's taxonomy places the organism in Eukaryota, Metazoa, Chordata, Aves, Psittaciformes, Psittacidae. The record is from RefSeq and is a predicted model, not a curated record.
CCCAUGUCAGGAUGGUGCAAACAUGGGAGGGAGGAGUUCUCCAUGCUUUAGUCCACUUGGACCACAAGGAAAUACAGGCUGACAGGGGAUCAGCACACCAAGUCACUUUGGAUCGUUCUUUUCCCCCUCUUUUUGCCUUGUUUCUUUGCUGCUUGCUGUUUCACCUGCCUGGUAGUACCUCAGUGCAGAGGAAAGGCUCCCAGCACAUGCCGGUGUGCAGGACCUGACACAUUAACACCAUGAGCUCUUGGGGACCCUGUGGCCAAGCUGCAUUCAGAGAGGGGCCUGAAGCAGCUGGGCUGUGUCGGGUUCUGCUGCCUCCACCCCAUGCAGGACAAACCCCCCCCAGCCCCACAGCAGAGCCUUGGGGACAACAGGGGCUGGGCAAGCAUCCUCACCCUGCUGCAAGUCAGAGCCUCACCAUCCAGCGAAGGAAACCAGGACCUGGCAGCAGUGGGAGAAACACUGCAGGGAAGCCCCAGCUCUCUGCUAGAAGCCCACAGUGUGCCCAAAAGCUCUGGCUUCUCCAGAUAGCUUUCAGAGCAACUGCUCCUGCUGUCAGGCAGUUUGCAUUGGAGAAGAAGAAUGGCCUUACCUUGCCCCAGCACCUCAUCGCUCACACUAAUUGAAGCAGCCCAUGAGACAGGCCAUGGCAGCACGACCUCAGCACAGGCUCCGUCCCCUCGGUCCCCCACUGCUUACCUGCUGCAGGGAUGCGCUGGCUGCGGACUUUCCACACUCUGGCCACAAAUAACCUGAUGGAGGGCAGCGAGCGAGGCUGGAAAUGCUCCUGCGCAGGAGAUGGGGUACCUGCUCCAGAAGGGCUGGGGAGCAGGGAGCAAAGGGAAGAUGUCCAUGGUCAAUUCGACUGGGGAGAUCCCGUUUCCUGCCUGGGCUGGGAUCAUCCCCAUCUGCCUAAUGCAUAAAGCCCUUUUCCAGCUGUUAAAAACACUGGAGGAAACGUGGAGCUGCAGCACCUCGUGCUCCCCGCUUGCUUUUUUGGGCAGGAAAAUGAUCCAAAGCAUCCGGCAAAGAGGGAGAAUAAAGGCAAAAAGGGCUCGGGAAUGGGGGGAUGGCUGGGAUGUGUGGUGGGGAACGUCUCCAGGGAUGUGGGGCGGGUGGCAGCGUGCCCAGCCCCAGCACAGGCAGCCCAACAAUAACGCGAGGCAUCAGGAGCACACUCAGCGGUGGGAAUCCCAGUCCUUGCCUUAAAAGGAGAUUUCAGGGAUGCUGUUAUUGGAAAAUUGUUUUCUGAUUAUUCAGCUUAUUGAGAGCCUGUUUCAUUAUUUGCAGUGUGACACGAGGGGGGCUGUGGCUGCACAUGAACAGCGACGACCAAGGGUGUUUCCAUGGAUUUCCAGGCCAGGAGAGUCCAUUAAAUCAUCCCGUUUGACCUCCCAUGUUCACAGGCCAAUUCACCCAAUUCCUCUCACAUUGAGCCCAAUAACUUGUGCUUCUGAAUCAAGCAGGAGGACCAGGACUAAGUCCUAUCUCAGCUGAAUGACUUCAAGAGAAGAAGAAUUGGCCAUUGACUUCCCUUGGCUCUCUGUCCUGAUGACAAGAAACCCAUGACAGCAGCAUUCUGCUGUUGACCUAUUUCUAAUGCUGCUGCAUCCCGCUUGCUUUGACCCUCUUUUGGGCAAAGGGGAUGCCCACAUGGCCCCUCAGCCGGUGCCUCCCGUGCAUGUGUGCUGAGCCACAUGGUUUAAUGCAGACAAACAGUGGGAUCCCUCUUGAUCUGCUGUCAGUGAGCAGCUCAAGAGUUAAUAAACUUCGAACAGAUGUGACCAACAUGUCAAGACACGAGAAGUACGUGGUAUGGAUGUUUAUAAGUACAUCGACAGAAGGCAUUCAUAAAAGGUUAUAAACCAUGGUAAUAAGCAACCCAUCAACUUGUUUGGACUCUAACACUUGAUUAACCAUUUAUUAAAAGGUGCAGUAAUCAUUUAUAAGCCAUAA